AGUGAACGCUGGCGGUAGGCCUAACACAUGCAAGUCGAACGGCAGCACAGUAAGAGCUUGCUCUUACGGGUGGCGAGUGGCGGACGGGUGAGGAAUACAUCGGAAUCUACUUUUUCGUGGGGGAUAACGUAGGGAAACUUACGCUAAUACCGCAUACGACCUACGGGUGAAAGCAGGGGAUCUUCGGACCUUGCGCGAUUGAAUUAGCCGAUGUCGGAUUAGCUAGUUGGCGGGGUAAAGGCCCACCAAGGCGACGAUCCGUAGCUGGUCUGAGAGGAUGAUCAGCCACACGGGAACUGAGACACGGUCCAGACUCCUACGGGAGGCAGCAGUGGGGAAUAUUGGACAAUGGGCGCAAGCCUGAUCCAGCCAUACCGCGUGGGUGAAGAAGGCCUUCGGGUUGUAAAGCCCUUUUGUUGGGAAAGAAAAGCAGCAGGUUAAUACCCCGCUGUUCUGACGGUACCCAAAGAAUAAGCACCGGCUAACUUCGUG
Molecule: ribosomal RNA, 492 nt
Filed under: uncultured bacterium
Lineage: Bacteria
Description: partial 16S ribosomal RNA
Rfam family: Bacterial small subunit ribosomal RNA
Source: RNAcentral